Molecule: ribosomal RNA, 460 nt
Filed under: uncultured bacterium
Lineage: Bacteria
Description: partial 16S ribosomal RNA
Rfam family: Bacterial small subunit ribosomal RNA
Source: RNAcentral
CCUACGGGAGGCAGCAGUGAGGAAUAUUGGUCAAUGGACGCAAGUCUGAACCAGCCAUGCCGCGUGCAGGAAGACGGCCCUAUGAGUUGUAAACUGCUUUUGUACGAGGGUAAACGCAGAUACGUGUAUCUGUCUGAAAGUAUCGUACGAAUAAGGAUCGGCUAAAUACGUGCCAGCAGCCGCGGUAAUACGGAGGAUUCAAGCGUUAUCCGGAUUUAGUGGGUUUAAAGGGUGCGUAGGCGGUCGGAUAAGUUAGAGGUGAAAUCCCGAGGCUCAACUUCGGAAUUGCCUCUGAUACUGUUCGGCUAGAGAGUAGUUGCGGUAGGCGGAAUGUAUGGUGUAGCGGUGAAAUGCUUAGAGAUCAUACAGAACACCGGUUGCGAAGGCAGCUUACCAAGCUACUUCUGACGUUGAGGCACGAAAGCGUGGGGAGCAAACAGGAUUAGAUACCCCAGUAGUC